UUACCAGAGGAUUUUUUGCACUAUCCAGAUAAGAAUCUUGACGGUUCUUUUAGAAUUGUGGAGUUGGAAGAUGGAUUAAAGGGAUUGGGUGUUGAAAGUAGAGAAAAAAUUGUGUCAGUUUUGCAGAAAAAUGCAACGAGGAAAGGGUUAUAUUCUAGAGAGCCAAUGGAGGGAAUUGAGUUUCCCCUUUUCCCAUCAAAGGGCUUGAGGUUGAGGAGGAAGAUUCAGGAUUGGUU
This 236-nucleotide unclassified non-coding RNA is filed under the name Hevea brasiliensis (rubber tree). The record is from RNAcentral. Lineage: Eukaryota; Viridiplantae; Streptophyta; Magnoliopsida; Malpighiales; Euphorbiaceae.